Cricetulus griseus (Chinese hamster) is the source of this 3265-nucleotide non-coding RNA. The record is from RefSeq and is a predicted model, not a curated record. Lineage: Eukaryota; Metazoa; Chordata; Mammalia; Rodentia; Cricetidae.
ACAAACAUAUACACAGAAGGACUUCCCUCAUCAUAAAUAUUUUUACGUUAAUUUUUUCUAAGCAGAAGCAGGUGGAUCUCUGUGAGUCUAUAGAGUGAGACCCUGUCUGAAAAAAAAAGUUAAUUAUGAAUUCUGAACCCAUCACCCAGCUCGCAAACUCCAAUGGUCCCAACACCCUUUUCUGAUCUAUACGCACGCAGGCACGCACGCAGGCUCGCACGCACGCACGCACGCACGCACGCAGGCACGCACGCACGCAUGGGCUUCCAACUUGGUGGUUGAAAGAGUCCACUUCCAGCGUUAGGAGGGUGGGACAAUCAUGUAAAAUACAGAAAACUUUUCCAGAAGGUUCCAUCUAUUUAACAGAAUUUUAGCUGCCCACUAGAGAGCUCUGCUGUUCACUUCACAACUGCUGCUCAGAGCCUGGACACACUAGGACAGCAGAGCAGAGUGUACCAGGCUUUCUUUUUGGGGCCACCAACCAGCUCAAGUCACAAUACCGAGACUUAUUAUUAGCUUUGAAUGCUCAGUCUUAGCUCAGAUCCUUUCUGGAUAGCUCUUUUAACUUAAACUAACCCGUUUCUCUUUAUCUACCUUUUACCUUGGGCUGUUCACCUUUCGUACUUCUGGGUACCUAUGUUCACUGCUUCUCCAUGUCUGUCUGUCUUCUGCCCUGGACAUCUCCCUCGUUCUAUUCUUCUUCUUCUCUCAUUCUUUUUUUUUUUUUUUUUUUUUUUCUGAGCCUAGCUUUCUCUUCCCAUUUAUUCUCUUUGUCAGCCAGCCCAGCCUAUACUUUCUCGUGCCUGGUUUUGGCCUUUCAGCUUUUUAUUAGGCCAAUCAGGUGCCUUAGGCGGGCAAAGUGAAACAAAUGCAACACAUCUUUUCAUAAUUAAACAAAUGCAGCAGAAAAAAUGCAACGCAUCUUUGCUCAGUUAAAAUAAUAUUUCACAGCAGCAGAAGCCUGUGAGGAUCUUUGUGGAAGCUGGAAACUAUGGGAAGGACCAUCCUGAGGGUUCAGCUGAGGGCUACACUUGAAACUAUAGACCAGUCUCAGCAUGGUGGUUAGUUUGUCUCAUCCAGUGCUGACUCAGUUGUAACAUGCAAAGAUUGAGAUCCAUAAGCAGCUGAGUUACAUAAAAAUUAGUUAGCUCCUGGUUUGUUUCCUUUUUCAAAUAUUUUUCAUUUAUAUGCUUUUAUAUGUAAUAUAUGUAUAUAUUGUAUAUAUAUUUGGUUCUCUGGAUUUUCCAAAUGCCCUUUGUUUCCCAAACCAUUGCUGAAGUAAUCAGGGAACUGGAAAUGAUACAGAUUAUUACUUCAAAAGACUCCUCACGGCACUCAGAGCCCAGAGGCUGGCAGACCAUGGUCUCAAGACCAGCUGCAAGUUAUAUUGCAACUCAUUAUGCCUAUUUAUUUACAUACUGCCUAAAGUGAUUUCACACAACAGUGAAAUUUUCACACAACGGUGGCUGUGUGGAGUAACUGUGAUGGAGACUGUAUGAUUCACAAGUCAGAAAUACACAUUUCCUAGAUGGAUUUCAAAAACAAUUCAGAGAACAGAAACGUGUCCAUGAAAUAUCAGCAUGUAUCAAGCUAUAAAUGUGUCAUUUAGUGGCAUCCAGAGGUGGUAAAACUGUAAAGAAAAUAGAUGGAAUAAGAACCACAGACUUCGACAGAAUUUCUAAAAGAUAGGGGCUGGGAGUAUUGCUUGAAAAUGGGAUAAUGAAGGAGCUUCAAGUGAUACGUAAGACUUAAAUUAUUCUUGGGGGCUGGAGAGAUGGCUCAGUGGUAAAUUGUGCACUCUGUAAGCCUGAGGACCUGAGUUUAGAUCCCCAGCAACUACAUAAAAACUGGGCAUGGAAACACAUGCCUGUCAUCCCAGUGCUGAGAGACUGUGGGGACAGGAGUUUCCCUGGGAGUUGUCACCUUGUCUCAUCAGUCACUGAGCUCCAGGUUCAGUGAGACUCCAUCUCAAAAAAUGCAGUGAAGAGAAAUAAAAGACACCCAACCUUCAGCCUCCAUAUACACAUGUGAACUCAUGUACCUGACAUACAUACACUGGGACAUACAGAGCUUAUGUGUAGAACAAGUGCAGACUGCUAUUCUGUGGUCUCAGACUUUGACCAGGGCAUAAGUAUUGGGUAGACAUAAAAUGAAUGUUUUGGGGGGAAAAAGAAGAAUGAGGAGGUUAAUUUUGGGCAGUUGAGAUGGCUCCAGGAGUGAAGGCAUUUUGCCAUCAAGCCCCAUGGCCUAGGUUAAAUCCCCAGGGUAUUCAUGCAGGAAGGCAAGAACAAUUCCCACAAGUUGUUGCUGACCUCCACACAUGCAUGUUGUAGCACAUGCACUCCCACACAUGCACAUAGGCACACAUACACAUAAGAAAUAAAUAUUUUUUUAGAAGGUCACUGUUGCAGGAUCCUGACGGGCAUCCCGUGACAUUGGAGGAAAGUAGGUGUGGCACCAAUACAGGCAUUGGGAACAACAAGCUCAGUUUAUCCCAGGGAGGGGAGAGUUUUAUAUACCCCUCAACCUGCCCCAGGGGAGGAGCUGGCAUCUGCUGAUGUGACUUGGUCACUGUCCAAAGUCCACGUCAUCUCUCAUCAGACUCGGCUGCUGUUGUCAAGGCCAACUGGCAGACCCAGGCUGGGGGUCAGGAAAUACCAACUGCGAAUGCUCUAGGCCAGCUGUCAGGCCCAUUGAGGCUUAGUUUUCCCACAGUUCACCUCUAUAUGUUAUUAGAAAACUGACCUGUGGAUGUUAGUUGGGUGCUUUGAUCAUCUGUGUGACCAGUUGUUUGUCUCACACACAGCCCUUGUCCAUAGGAGCAAGCAUGGCAUUCUAAGCAGGUCGUCAGCCUGUGUCCCAGGUCUUCCCCUGGGUUCCGAUCAUCAACCACAUUAAGGCCUGCAGUAGGGUGCAAGGCCAGUUCCACCUGACUGUCAGCUCUGAGCGCCUGAGUCCUUCAGAUACGGAACCAGCAGUCAGUGGAGACAGCUGUCACUCAGGUCCUUUUCAACCCUUGGUUCAAUAAAUGAUCAAAGGACUUAUCAGUGUUGACGUAGCUAAUGACUGUGUUGUGCAUAUAGACUUUCGGUUAAUGCAGUCGGUCAUCUCUUUGACCCUCUCACCAACUGUGCAAAGAAAAGCAGAGAACAGGAGGUGUUAGAAAAGAAAGGCAAGCAGAAGUGUCUCUCGGUGAUACUAGAGCAGGGAGACACCCUUUAUGAGCUCAGUGACUGACUCAGAGUCCGAAAAAAAAAAAAAAAAA